Molecule: ribosomal RNA, 253 nt
Filed under: uncultured bacterium
Lineage: Bacteria
Description: partial 16S ribosomal RNA
Rfam family: Bacterial small subunit ribosomal RNA
Source: RNAcentral
UACGAAGGGGGCUAGCGUUGUUCGGAAUCACUGGGCGUAAAGGGCGCGUAGGCGGCUUUAUAAGUCGGGGGUGAAAGCCUGUGGCUCAACCACAGAAUUGUCUUCGAUACUGUAGAGCUUGAGACCGGAAGAGGUAAGUGGAACUGCGAGUGUAGGGGUGAAAUUCGUAGAUAUUCGCAAGAACAUCAGUGGCGAAGGCGGCUUACUGGUCCGGUUCUGACGCUGAGGCGCGAAAGCGUGGGGAGCAAACAGG